AUGCCAUGAUGUGGGCAUUUCCUUAGUAAUUCCUUGUACCUCUCCCAAGAAUCAGAAACUACUUCAUCGUCCAGUUGUUUAAAAAGAAAAUUUUUAUUUACGAACUU
Small nucleolar RNA from Cynara cardunculus var. scolymus (artichoke), 107 nucleotides. NCBI's taxonomy places the organism in Eukaryota, Viridiplantae, Streptophyta, Magnoliopsida, Asterales, Asteraceae. The record is from RefSeq and is a predicted model, not a curated record.